Oncorhynchus tshawytscha (Chinook salmon) is the source of this 2284-nucleotide long non-coding RNA. NCBI's taxonomy places the organism in Eukaryota, Metazoa, Chordata, Actinopteri, Salmoniformes, Salmonidae. The record is from Ensembl.
AGGGGGUACAGGUUAGUAAUGAGACUAUAUACAGGGGGUACAGGUUAGUAAUGAGACUAUAUACAGGGGGUACAGGUUAGUAAUGAGACUAUAUACAGGGGUACAGGUUAGUAAUGAGACUAUAUACAGGGGGUACAGGUUAGUAAUGAGACUAUAUACAGGGGGUACAGGUUAGUAAUGAGACUAUAUACAGGGGUUACAGGUUAGUAAUGAGACUAUAUACAGGGGUACAGGUUAGUAAUGAGACUAUAUACAGGGGUACAGGUUAGUAAUGAGACUAUAUACAGGGGGUACAGGUUAGUAAUGAGACUAUAUACAGGGGGUACAGGUUAGUAAUGAGACUAUAUACAGGGGGUACCGGUUAGUAAUGAGACUAUAUACAGGGGGUACAGGUUAGUAAUGAGACUAUAUACAGGGGGUACAGGUUAGUAAUGAGACUAUAUACAGGGGGUACAGGUUAGUAAUGAGACUAUAUACAGGGGGUACAGGUUAGUAAUGAGACUAUAUACAGGGGGUACAGGUUAGUAAUGAGACUAUAUACAGUGGGUACAGGUUAGUAAUGAGACUAUAUACAGGGGGUACCGGUACCGAGUCAGUGUGCAGGGCUACAGGUUAGUAAUGAGACUAUAUACAGGGGGUACCGGUACCGAGUCAGUGUGCAGGGCUAUAGGUUAGUAAUGAGACUAUAUACAGGGGUACAGGUUAGUAAUGAGACUAUAUACAGGGGGUACAGGUUAGUAAUGAGACUAUAUACAGGGGUACAGGUUAGUAAUGAGACUAUAUACAGGGGGUACAGGUUAGUAAUGAGACUAUAUACAGGGGGUACAGGUUAGUAAUGAGGCUAUAUACAGGGGGUACAGGUUAGUAAUGAGGUUAUAUACAGGGGGUACAGGUUAGUAAUGAGACUAUAUACACGGGGUACAGGUUAGUAAUGAGACUAUAUACAGGGGGUACAGGUUAGUAAUGAGACUAUAUACAGGGGGUACAGGUUAGUAAUGAGACUAUAUACAGGGGGUACCGGUACAGAGUCAAUGUGUGGGGGUACAGGUUAGUAAUGAGACUAUAUACAGGGGGUACCGGUACCGAGUCAAUGUGUGGGGGUACAGGUUAGUAAUGAGACUAUAUACAGGGGGUACCGGUACCGAGUCAAUGUGCGGGGGUACAGGUUAGUAAUGAGGCUAUAUACAAGGGGUACCGGUACCGAGUCAAUGUGUGGGGGUACAGGUUAGUAAUGAGACUAUAUACAGGGGGUACCGGUACAGAGUCAAUGUGCGGGGGUACAGGUUAGUAAUGAGGCUAUAUACAGGGGGUACAGGUUAGUAAUGAGACUAUAUACAGGGGGUACCGGUACCGAGUCAAUGUGUGGGGGUACAGGUUAGUAAUGAGACUAUAUACAGGGGGUACCGGUACCGAAUCAAUGUGCGGGGGUACAGGUUAGUAAUGAGACUAUAUACAGGGGGUACCGGUACCGAGUCAAUGUGUGGGGGUACAGGUUAGUAAUGAGACUAUAUACAGGGGGUACCGGUACCGAGUCAAUGUGCGGGGGUACAGGUUAGUAAUGAGACUAUAUACAGGGGGUACCGGUACCGAGUCAAUGUGCGGGGGUACAGGUUAGUAAUGAGACUGUAUACAGGGGGUACCGGUACCGAGUCAAUGUGCGGGGGUACAGGUUAGUAAUGAGACUAUAUACAGGGGGUACCGGUACCGAGUCAAUGUGCGGGGGUACAGGUUAGUAAUGAGACUAUAUACAGGGGGUACCGGUACCGAGUCAAUGUGCGGGGGUACAGGUUAAUAAUGAGACUAUAUACAGGGGGUACCGGUACCGAGUCAAUGUGCGGGGGUACAGGUUAGUAAUGAGGAUAUAUACGGGGUAUUGGUACCGAGUCAGUGUGCGGGGGUACAGGUUAGUAAUGAGGCUAUAUACAGGGGGUAUUGGUACCGGGUCACUGUGUAGGGUUACAGCUUAGUAAUGAGGAUAUAUACAGGGGGUAUUGGUACCGGGUCAAUGUGCUGGGCUACAGGUUAGUAAUGAGGCUAUAUACAGGGAGUAUUGGUACCGGGUCAGUGUGCUGGGCUACAGGUUAGUAAUGAGGCUAUAUACAGGGAGUACCGGUACCGAGUCAAUGUGCGGGGUUACAGGUUAGUAAUGAGACUAUAUACAGGGGGUACCGGUACCGAGUCAAUGUGCGGGGGUACAGGUUAGUAAUGAGACUAUAUACAGGGGGUACCGGUACCGAGUCAAUGUGCGGGGGUACAGGUUAGUAAUGAGACUAUAUACAGGGGG